RNAcentral lists this ribosomal RNA (248 nucleotides) under uncultured bacterium. Its description in RNAcentral is "partial 16S ribosomal RNA". It matches the Rfam family "Bacterial small subunit ribosomal RNA", at positions 524 to 773 of the family's 1533-position model. The record is from RNAcentral.
UACAGAGGUGGCAAGCGUUGUUCGGAAUUACUGGGCGUAAAGGCGCGUAGGCGGCCUUCUAAGUCAGACGUGAAAUCCCCCGGCUUAACCUGGGAACUGCGUCUGAUACUGGAGGCUUGAGUAUGGGAGAGGGAUGUAGAAUUCCAGGUGGUAGCGGUGAAAUGCGUAGAUAUCUGGAGGAAUACCGGUGGCGAAGGCGGCAUCCUGGACCAUUACUGACGCUGAGGCGCGAAAGCUAGGGAGCAACG